This 352-nucleotide unclassified non-coding RNA is filed under the name uncultured fungus. RNAcentral describes it as "partial contains small subunit ribosomal RNA, internal transcribed spacer 1, and 5.8S ribosomal RNA". The stretch from base 1 to 73 matches the Rfam family "Eukaryotic small subunit ribosomal RNA", at positions 1759 to 1831 of the family's 1831-position model. Lineage: Eukaryota; Fungi. The record is from RNAcentral.
GCAAACUUGGUCAUUUAGAGGAAGUAAAAGUCGUAACAAGGUUUCCGUAGGUGAACCUGCGGAAGGAUCAUUAUUGAAUGAAAUUAGUUAGACUGUUGCUGGUUCUUAGGAGCAUGUGCACGUCUAACAUCAUUCUUACCACCUGUGCACUCUUUGUAGACUUGGAGUUUUAAUCGAGGUCAAACUCGGAUUUGAGGACUUGCCUGAAAGGGCUGUCCUUGAGCUCUAGUCUAUGUUUCAAUAUACCCUAUGAAUGUAAUGGAAUGUAUAUGUAUUGGCCAUUGUGCCUUUAAAUGUUAAUACAACUUUCAACAACGGAUCUCUUGGCUCUCGCAUCGAUGAAGAACGCAGC